GUGGGUGUAGCUCAGUGGUAGAGCACGUGCUUAGCAUUCGUGAGGUCCUGGGUUCCAUCCCCAGCACCUCCU
Molecule: transfer RNA, 72 nt
Filed under: Camelus dromedarius (Arabian camel)
Lineage: Eukaryota; Metazoa; Chordata; Mammalia; Artiodactyla; Camelidae
Also listed under: 1 other name
Rfam family: tRNA
About the family: Transfer RNA (tRNA) molecules are approximately 80 nucleotides in length. Their secondary structure includes four short double-helical elements and three loops (D, anti-codon, and T loops). Further hydrogen bonds mediate the characteristic L-shaped molecular structure. tRNAs have two regions of fundamental functional importance: the anti-codon, which is responsible for specific mRNA codon recognition, and the 3' end, to which the tRNAs corresponding amino acid is attached (by aminoacyl-tRNA synthetases). tRNAs cope with the degeneracy of the genetic code in two manners: having more than one tRNA (with a specific anti-codon) for a particular amino acid; and 'wobble' base-pairing, i.e. permitting non-standard base-pairing at the 3rd anti-codon position.
Source: Rfam by way of RNAcentral